Molecule: ribosomal RNA, 521 nt
Filed under: Lasiodiplodia theobromae
Lineage: Eukaryota; Fungi; Ascomycota; Dothideomycetes; Botryosphaeriales; Botryosphaeriaceae
Description: eukaryotic LSU rRNA
Rfam family: 5.8S ribosomal RNA (bases 145-298)
Source: RNAcentral
GUGGGUAUACGACUUUCGGGCUUCGGCUCGACUCUCCCACCCUUUGUGAACGUACCUCUGUUGCUUUGGCGGCUUCGGCCGCCAAAGGACCUUCAAACUCCAGUCAGUAAACGCAGACGUCUGAUAAACAAGUUAAUAAACUAAAACUUUCAACAACGGAUCUCUUGGUUCUGGCAUCGAUGAAGAACGCAGCGAAAUGCGAUAAGUAAUGUGAAUUGCAGAAUUCAGUGAAUCAUCGAAUCUUUGAACGCACAUUGCGCCCCUUGGUAUUCCGGGGGGCAUGCCUGUUCGAGCGUCAUUACAACCCUCAAGCUCUGCUUGGAAUUGGGCACCGUCCUCACUGCGGACGCGCCUCAAAGACCUCGGCGGUGGCUGUUCAGCCCUCAAGCGUAGUAGAAUACACCUCGCUUUGGAGCGGUUGGCGUCGCCCGCCGGACGAACCUUCUGAACUUUUCUCAAGGUUGACCUCGGAUCAGGUAGGGAUACCCGCUGAACUUAAGCAUAUCAAAAGGCGGAGGAAA